GGUGGAGCAUGUGACUUAAUUCGAUGCAACGCGAAGAACCUUACCUGGCCUUGACAUCCACGGAAUUCGGCAGAGAUGCCUUAGUGCCUUCGGGAACCGUAAGACAGGUGCUGCAUGGCUGUCGUCAGCUCGUGUUGUGAAAUGUUGGGUUAAGUCCCGCAACGAGCGCAACCCUUAUCCUUUGUUGCCAGCGCGUGAUGGCGGGAACUCAAAGGAGACUGCCGGUGACAAACCGGAGGAAGGUGGGGAUGACGUCAAGUCAUCAUGGCCCUUACGGCCAGGGCUACACACGUGCUACAAUGGCGCAUACAAAGAGAAGCGACCUCGCGAGAGCAAGCGGACCUCAUAAAGUGCGUCGUAGUCCGGAUCGGAGUCUGCAACUCGACUCCGUGAAGUCGGAAUCGCUAGUAAUCGUAGAUCAGAACGCUACGGUGAAUACGUUCCCGGGCCUUGUACACACCGCCCGUCACACCAUGGGAGUGGGUUGCAAAAGAAGUAGGUAGCUUAACCUCCGGGAGGGCGCUUACCACUUUGUGAUUCAUGACUGGGGUGAAGUCGUAACAAGGUAACC
This 571-nucleotide ribosomal RNA is filed under the name uncultured Erwinia sp. RNAcentral's name for it is "bacterial SSU rRNA". It matches the Rfam family "Bacterial small subunit ribosomal RNA", at positions 931 to 1501 of the family's 1533-position model. Lineage: Bacteria; Pseudomonadati; Pseudomonadota; Gammaproteobacteria; Enterobacterales; Erwiniaceae. The record is from RNAcentral.